CAGUCGCCGCGGGAAUACGGAGGGGGCUAGCGUUGUUCGGAAUUACUGGGCGUAAAGCGCACGUAGGCGGCUUUGUAAGUCAGAGGUGAAAGCCUGGAGCUCAACUCCAGAACUGCCUUUGAGACUGCAUCGCUUGAACGUCGGAGAGGUGAGUGGAAUUCCGAGUGUAGAGGUGAAAUUCGUAGAUAUUCGGAAGAACACCAGUGGCGAAGGCGGCUCACUGGACGACUGUUGACGCUGAGGUGCGAAAGCGUGGGGAGCAAACAGGAUUAGAGACCCCCGUAGUCCCUGUCUCUUAUAC
Molecule: ribosomal RNA, 301 nt
Filed under: uncultured bacterium
Lineage: Bacteria
Description: partial 16S ribosomal RNA
Rfam family: Bacterial small subunit ribosomal RNA
Source: RNAcentral